UCGCGGAUCAGCAUGCCGCGGUGAAUACGUUCCCGGGCCUUGUACACACCGCCCGUCACACCAUGGGAGCCGGUAAUACCCGAAGUCAGUAGUCCAACCACGUGAGGACGCUGCCGAAGGUAGGAUUGGCGACUGGGGUGAAGUCGUAACAAGGUAGC
This 158-nucleotide ribosomal RNA is filed under the name uncultured bacterium. Its description in RNAcentral is "partial 16S ribosomal RNA". It matches the Rfam family "Bacterial small subunit ribosomal RNA", at positions 1342 to 1500 of the family's 1533-position model. The record is from RNAcentral.